This 4093-nucleotide small RNA is filed under the name Pan troglodytes (chimpanzee). RNAcentral describes it as "processed transcript". The record is from RNAcentral. Lineage: Eukaryota; Metazoa; Chordata; Mammalia; Primates; Hominidae.
AAAUAAUUAAGCUUAUUAAAGACAAAAAAAAGGAUGUUAGUUUUCGAAACAUUGGCAUAAUAACUCAUUACAAGGCCCAGAAGACGAUGAUUCAGAAGGAUUUGGACAAAGAGUUCGAUAGAAAAGGACCAGCAGAAGUAGACACUGUGGAUGCAUUCCAGGGUCGGCAGAAGGAUUGUGUUAUUGUUACGUGUGUCAGAGCAAAUAGCAUGCAAGGUUCAAUUGGAUUCCUGGCAAGUUUGCAGAGAUUGAAUGUCACCAUCACACGAGCCAAGUACAGCCUCUUCAUCCUCGGACAUUUGAGGACCCUGAUGAUGAGGAAACAGGCUCAGAGAGGUCAAGUGACUUGACCAAGGUCACACAGCAAGUAAAUACUGUGCAGCCUCACUGCUUCCCUAACAUACCUUUAUGAACAGUACAGGAGCCCCCAUGAGAGGGAAAACCAGCAUUGGAAUCAGCUGAUUCAGGAUGCUCAGAAGCGUGGUGCCAUUAUUAAGACCUGUGAGAAAAACUAUAGACAUGAUGCAGUGAAGAUUCUGAAACUCAAGCCUGUGCUGCAGAGAAGUCUCACUCACCCUCCUACCAUAGCCCCAGAGGGGUCCAGACCCCAGGGUGGUUUGCCCAGCAGCAAGCUAGACAGUGGAUUUGCCAAGACAUCUGUUGCUGCUUCUCCAUACCACACACCCUCUGACUCCAAGGAAAUUACUCUUACUGUUACUUCAAAGGACCCUGAAAGACCUCCUGUUCAUGACCAACUUCAGGACCCACGACUGCUGAAGAGGAUGGGCAUUGAGGUCAAAGGAGGAAUAUUCCUUUGGGAUCCACAACCCUCGAGCCCCCAGCAUCCUGGAGCAACACCUCCUACGGGCGAGCCGGGCUUCCCUGUCGUUCACCAGGACCUGAGCCAUGUACAGCAGCCCGCUGCUGUAGUGGCUGCUCUGAGCAGCCACAAACCUCCCUUGCGGGGCGAACCUCCAGCUGCCAGUCCCGAGGCUUCCACGUGUCAGAGCAAAUGUGAUGACCCGGAAGAGGAGCUCUGUCACAGGAGAGAGGCCAGGGCUUUCAGUGAGGGGGAGCAGGAAAAGUGUGGCUCCGAGACCCAUCACACCAGGAGGAACUCUAGGUGGGACAAGAGGACACUGGAGCAGGAGGACAGCAGUUCCAAGAAAAGAAAGCUUUUAUAGGAAAGCCCAGUGACAUGGGCCAGCAGCCACAGCAUAUUGUAAACUGAAGAUGACCAGCUCGUGGGACCAUCUAGAUAAGCUUGUUUUUUGUAAGGAGUUUGUGUGCUGUUGGAAAACAUGGAAAAUGCAUCCUUAACACCUGAGCCUCUGGUCAUCUUCAGUAUUUUCUGUCAUUUGCAAAAGCUUUCAGAGGGCAUUGUGUAUCCGUAAUAAUGUCCUUGAAGUCAGAGACUGGAAAUGUUGAUCUCUUAGUCUUCUAUAGACAAGGAGGUCAGACUGGAGUGAAUGUUGUAAAAGUUGAAAUGUAUAUUUGUAUAGCAAAUAACAAAAUCCUUUUAAAAUUUAAUCUAGUAGACCGCUUUUCUUUCCCCCUGUUUAAAAUGUUAAUCAUUUUUCAACAGAACAAACUUUAUAUUACAAAAAAAAAAAAAAAAGAUGGGAGGAGGGCGGGUCCUUCCAGCCAUUGUUAGGGCAAGACAGAUUGAUUAACAGCCCAGCUUGGAAUAAGCUGAGUUAGUGCUGGUGGGUCAGGUGUCUCUGGCUCUAUUUAAAAAAAAAAAAAAAAGCAAAAAACCCCCCAAAAACCUGGAGUCUCGUAGGGGACACUUUGGGCAGCACGGUUAUGUUAGGUAAAGUCUUGCUGACAUGGUGCAUUUUUAGAUAGAGUGCAUUGGCCCAUGGUAUUAUAUUUCUGUGAUGAGUUCAUUUACCUGUUUCAGUAUGCACAUAGUUCCCUAGCUAAAAUUCCUAAUCUUCUUGAGAGAGAAGAAUAUGGAGUGAAAGAAUAAUUCUUGAGCUAUCAUUCAAAUGCUCCCAGCAUAUUGUGAGCUUUGUGUGACUGGUGAGGUACAGACAUUUGGUUGCCAAAUGCUAGAUUAGCGCUGGGUCAGCUGUGGAAGAAUCGCCUCAGCUUACAGAUUGUCAGACAGAUCUAACUAGUUUCCCAGAAAGCCUGGGAAGCUGUGUGUUCAACAUUUCCCAAGGGAUUCUGAUCACCAAGCAGCUUGGGAACCACUGGGGCAGGCCAAAUAGAAUAUUUUGGGCGGGAAAGAAGCACCCGAUUUAAAAUGAAGCGUAACCAGAGGAGUUCAGAACUGGGAAGAGAGUGGUAGACUUCCUGUGAUCUUCAGAAAUCAUCUACCUGGUAAAAAUACAUGCUGUUUAGAAUAUCUGAUAGGUGUUUCCAGCUACUAUUAGAGGUGAUAGUGCUUUUGUGGGGGAAAAAAUUGGUCAUGGUGAAUGGAGAUCGAGGAAGCUCAGGACAAGGGAGGGGUGGGCUGCCUGAUUUUGUCCAGUUUUCCAAAUAUCCACACAGUGAACUGGAGUAUCCUAAACAUGAGAAUGUACAGUUGACAGUUGUAAAAACUAGGGGUCUGUAGUGAAUGCUGUGCAGCCCCUUAUCUCAUUUGGGGGUUGGAAAAUAGCUGAAGAUUCAUGUGCAUUAUUUGACAUUUCCUUUGUCAUCUGCUUUUCAAGCAAAAAAGGGUUUUGUGUUAGAAAUUCUACUUGAGCAGAUCAUAAAGAGCUUUAAAAAACAACUUUCGGUUGCCAAAAGUUUGAGCAUUUGAUUUCAUUACCUGUGUCUCCCUCACUGGUGUCCAGACAUCUGACUAAUGUCAACUGAACACUCCUGAAACCCAGGGAGCAGGUGACUUCCUAGAGUGCUUUGUCCCCAGAGUCAGCCACUGCUUCCUCUGUGGGGGUGGAGAGUUUGUCUUUGGCCAUGCAGUGUGCGACAGUUCAGGACGGGUAGGGAUGGGUCCCACUCUGUCUGGGUCAAGGGCUCUAUCAGCUUCUUCCAUGUGCCUUUGGGAAGAAAUCUCGUUACUUUAAGUUUGCUUUCCUGUUAUCUUGAUGAAGUGCCCAUUUUAGCAGACACUUGUAGUGGUGACCACUUAGGGAAUGUACAAACUCCUAAGCUUCUAAAGGGAGGCAUGGCAAAAACAGUUGGGGUCAGGAUGUCUCUCACGCUGCUCAUGUUAAUACUAUUAACACAUGAUUUGAGAAAUAAGUUUUCUCUAAAAUGCAUAUUUUGCUGCCACACACUGAACAAUAUUAUUUCCAGUGAAGUUUGAUGCCUGUUCUUAACGUUGUGUUCACCUGUUGGUUCACCACUCAGCAGAUCUGAUUCUGCAAGAAUUAAUGGUAGAACUAGAUCAUCCUUUCUAACAGACGAGCCUGUGUCCUUUGACGGCCUUUCACAGCGGAAUGCAGUUGUACCUCACAUUACUUUUGAAACUUCACUCGUUACAGUUGGUACAAGUAUUUGCCAAAGCCAUUUCCUGUGUUCACCGUGGCCCCUCCUGAUGUGGCUGUCAGCGCAGCGUUGUUGAACAGGGCUAUUCUUUUUACAAGGUGUGAAGUGUGGCUCUUUGCUUCGUCUUUGCCAUGGCAUUAAAAGAAAGUUCCCUGUCUUCUUUCAAUAUUAGUUAUUUCAAAUGAAUAUGUGCUACUUAAAAGCUUGUUUUGUUUCUUUGUAUAUAAUUUGCCUUGGAUUUAUUGUGCACAGUUUGUUGAGUUGUAUGUUUUUGUGAAUUAUCAGGAGUAAAUUUGACAAGUACAUGUGAAUAACCUCCUGUAAAUGAAUUUUAUAACAAAAAUGUACUGAACUAUUUUUUAAAGUUGUGCAGAUUAGCAAUUUUUUGCUAUAGCUUUGACUUUUCUAUGCUGUGAAUUAAUAGCUGCGAUUUGGCAAACAGUAGCCCUGUUGUCUUUGUUAAACCCUAAAUUUUAAGAGGAAAUGGCAGAAUUAAAAGCAGAAACAAGAUGACGGAUAUGGAUUAGAGGUUAUGUAUUAUGAAGUAAACUACAAAGUACUAACAUCAUUUCGUCUGCCAUUUGGUUUGCUUUAUGCUGAAAUUACUUGGUGGGGAUUUGUGCAAUUCAGAUAUAAAAAGUUUCAUUAUCCA